RNAcentral lists this long non-coding RNA (1624 nucleotides) under Setaria italica (foxtail millet). RNAcentral's name for it is "long non-coding RNA (SITA_LNC003325)". Lineage: Eukaryota; Viridiplantae; Streptophyta; Magnoliopsida; Poales; Poaceae. The record is from RNAcentral.
UCGUCUCCAUCCCCAAAUCGAGUUAUCCAUCUUCUCUCAUCGAAAGAUCGGGAUUCAACCCCACGGGUUCAAAUCACACUCCAUGGUCCACAUUUUUGCUGUGAGAAGUUAGCAAGUGCUAAAUAUAUCACGGAAGCCUCAUUUAAGUAUGCAAGUUGCAAACUAGAAAUAUAAAGUGCAACACUUUCGUGUAGCGUAGAUAUACUUGUACUAAAAUUAGCAAAUAACACUCUACCGUCCACAUUUUGGCAGCACAAAGUUAAGAAGGAACAUAUCAUGGAAGCCUCAUUAAGCACGCAAGUUGCAAACUCGAAAUAUCUAAUACAAUAAUUUUAAUGUUCCAAUCAACUUCACGCGACCAUGACCUAUCAGAACUUAUCAGACGAUUCGGUGGAGGAAGCAACUCCAGCUUCUAAUUUUGUUGCUCCUCACUGCAUAUGGAAAAGAGUCUGUAACAGCUAAUGUUCAAAGCAGAAAAAUUAUAUGUAAGGCAUUGAGCCACCAAAUAUUGUUCCAUCUCUGUGGGGUCCUAUUUUUCUAGGAUUCCUGGAACUUUGAUUUGAUUUGGAAAAAGGCACUUUGAAGUCUUUUUUUGUUUUGGAACAUUGCCUCCCAUUGGUUGGCUGGAACCGAUGUACAAAUUAGCGGGUUAGGGAUUUAAUGUAUAGCUGUGCUCAACCGCUAUAGCGCCGCUAUAGCCCGCUAAUUAGUACAACGUUGUUGUAGCGGCAGCUAGCAUCAACCGCUAUAGCGCGAUUCUAACCCGCUAUUUUGUACAUAGGUUGGAACUCAUCGACAUAAUUUAUUUGAGGUCCCAUCAUCCUUUGUGGCACAAUACAACUAAUCUACGUUUAUUCCUGUCCUUUAAUUCAAUCACCCCAAAAGAAAAAAAAGUGUUGUGAACUUGACCAAAGCUCACGAAGCACAAAGUUUUCAUCAUUCUGCCACGACAGUCUAGUUCCUAAGUGAUUUUACUUUUUGAGGGAAAGGUAAAUGCUAAAUACGCAGUCAUGUUGGAGUUGGACAAAGCGUACCAACAGAGUCUUCAAGCGCAUAUCGGUGCAUCCAACUAGAAAUUAUUGAAUGGUCAUAAAAGUUGUAAAUAAGUACUUGAGAUCAGAAGCAUACCUCAAAAGCAAGCAUUCGGCACCCAUAUAUAAUAGAUAUGAGUGGAAACUUGGUCAGAAAGAAGUUGCAGAACUGGAGCAUCAGCUGGAAUAGUAGUUUCUCAUCAAACUGUUAUUAAAAAUAUUAUUACCGAAUAAACAAAUAUAGGCUCCUUCUUAAUCUUAUUUACUGUAAGAACAUCUACACAGCUGUACUUCAUAAUGUUGUCUUGAGUAAAUACAGGCGCGAAUUUAUCACUUAAUAAGUGAAAUGGUUAGCAUGUACCAUAAGAUUCUGUGUGUUCAUCCUCAAGCUAGCUGCUGCACAAGAAACCUCAUGUACUACAAUCAGGCAAGGUAUCACUAUACCACUGCCAUAUUGACAAGGUUCAACUAGGGCAUGUGCUUAAAUUACUACCUACUCCAUACCAGAGGGAUGAUGUACGAGCAUUUCUAUAUCCCCAAAUUAAUAGGAAUGGGAAAUACAUGAUGCUUGCCUAAUGAUUUGUAAAUUAAAG